AAAAUGCGAUACGUAAUGCGAAUUGCAGAAUUCAGUGAAUCAUCAAAUCUUUGAACGCAUCUGGCGCUUAUGGGUAACCCUGUAAGCACACUUUGUUGAGGGUCACUUCACUUCAUCUCGGUCACGUACUUAAUUGUGCGUGGGCGGAAUCAGAACGGUUGACUUCAGUCUACCUGUUUGUUGCACCACUUCAACUCCGAUCUAGUUCUCAACUAGUUCGAUGUCUGAUAAUUGACUUUAAUGUCAUUUUCAUAUCUACAUUGAACUUGGAGCACAUAGGAGAGGAGACCUGUCGUGUUGAAAAAGUAGGAAACAAUUUUUUUUUGACCUCAACUAAAGUGAGAGAACCCGCCGAAUUUAA
Molecule: unclassified non-coding RNA, 361 nt
Filed under: uncultured fungus
Lineage: Eukaryota; Fungi
Description: sequence contains ITS1
Rfam family: 5.8S ribosomal RNA (bases 1-105)
Source: RNAcentral